UACCAGCACCCCGAGUGGUCGGGACGUUUAUUGGGCCUAAAGCCUCCGUAGCCGGUUCUACAAGUCUUCCGUUAAAUCCACCUGCUCAACAGAUGGGCUGCGGAAGAUACUAUGGAGCUAGGAGGCGGGAGAGGCAAGCGGUACUCGAUGGGUAGGGGUAAAAUCCGUUGAUCCAUUGAAGACCACCAGUGGCGAAGGCGGCUUGCCAGAACGCGCUCGACGGUGAGGGAUGAAAGCUGGGGGAGCAAACCGG
RNAcentral lists this ribosomal RNA (253 nucleotides) under uncultured bacterium. RNAcentral describes it as "partial 16S ribosomal RNA". It matches the Rfam family "Archaeal small subunit ribosomal RNA", at positions 474 to 727 of the family's 1478-position model. The record is from RNAcentral.